This 367-nucleotide ribosomal RNA is filed under the name uncultured bacterium. Its description in RNAcentral is "bacterial SSU rRNA". It matches the Rfam family "Bacterial small subunit ribosomal RNA", at positions 917 to 1289 of the family's 1533-position model. The record is from RNAcentral.
GGGCCCGCACAAGCGGUGGAGCAUGCGGCUUAAUUCGAUGAUACCCGUAGAACCUUACCUGGACUUGACAUAUAGGGUCAAGCUAUAGAGAUAUAGUGUGCAUUAGCGCCCUAUACAGGUGGUGCAUGGCUGUCGUCAGCUCGUGUCGUGAGAUGUUGGUUAAGUCCCGCAACGAGCGCAACCCCCUGUCCUAUGUUGCCAGCAUUUAGUUGGGGACUCAUAGGAGACUGCCGUGAUAAACCGGAGGAAGGUGGGACGACGUCAAGUCAUCAUGCCCCUUAUGUCCAGGGCUGCACGCAUGCUACAAUGGCAAGUACAACGAGUCGCAAUACCGCGAGGUGGGAGCAAAUCUCUUAAAGCUUGUCUC